UCCUAGUGAUUAGAGUUUGAUCAUGGCUCAGAACGUACGCUGGCGGCACGCCUAACACAUGCAAGUCGAACGAAGUAGCAAUACUUAGUGGCAGACGGGUGAGUAACAUGUAGGUAUCUACCCUUUGGCCUGGAAUAACACGAGGAAACUUGUGCUAAUACCGGAUAAGUCUUUACGGAGAAAGCUUUAUGCACCAUUGGAUGAGCCUGCACUUGAUUAGUUUGUUGGUAGGGUAAUGGCCUACCAAGACUUUGAUCAAUAGCUGAUUUGAGAGGAUGAUCAGCCACAUUGGGACUGAGACACGGCCCAAACUCCUACGGGAGGCAGCAGUGGGGAAUCUUGCACAAUGGAGGAAACUCUGAUGCAGCGAUGCCGCGUGAGUGAAGAAGGCCUUUGGGUUGUAAAGCUCUUUCGUCGGGGAAGAAAAUGACUGUACCCGAAUAAGAAGGUCCGGCUAACUUCGUGCCAGCAGCCGCGGUAAUACGAAGGGACCUAGCGUAGUUCGGAAUUACUGGGCUUAAAGAGUUCGUAGGUGGUUGAAAAAGUUGGUGGUGAAAUCCCAGAGCUUAACUCUGGAACUGCCAUCAAAACUUUUUAGCUAGAGUUUGAUAGAGGAAAGCAGAAUUUCUAGUGUAGAGGUGAAAUUCGUAGAUAUUAGAAAGAAUACCAAUUGCGAAGGCAGCUUUCUGGAUCAUUACUGACACUGAGGAACGAAAGCAUGGGUAGCGAAGAGGAUUAGAUACCCUCGUAGUCCAUGCCGUAAACGAUGUGUGUUAGACGUUGGAAAUUUAUUUUCAGUGUCACAGCGAAAGCAAUAAACACACCGCCUGGGGAGUACGACCGCAAGGUUAAAACUCAAAUGAAUUGACGGGGACCCGCACAAGUAGUGGAGCAUGUGGUUUAAUUCGAAGAUACGCGCAGAACCUUACCAACACUUGACAUGUUCGUCGCGACUUUAAGAGAUUAAAGUUUUCGGUUCGGCCGGACGAAACACAGGUGCUGCAUGGCUGUCGUCAGCUCGUGUCGUGAGAUGUUGGGUUAAGUCCCGCAACGAGCGCAACCCUCACUUUUAGUUGCCAUCAUUUAGUUGGGCACUCUGAAAGAACUGCCAGUGAUAAGCUGGAGGAAGGUGGGGAUGACGUCAAGUCCUCAUGGCCCUUACGUGUUGGGCUACACACGUGCUACAAUGGCAUUUACAACAGGAAGCAAAACGGCGACGUUAAGCAAAUCCUAAAAAAAUGCCUCAGUUCGGAUUGUACUCUGCAACUCGAGUACAUGAAGCUGGAAUUACUAGUAAUCGCGGAUCAGCGCGCCGCGGUGAAUACGUCCCCGGGUCUUGUAGACACCGCC
RNAcentral lists this ribosomal RNA (1350 nucleotides) under uncultured bacterium. Its description in RNAcentral is "bacterial SSU rRNA". It matches the Rfam family "Bacterial small subunit ribosomal RNA". The record is from RNAcentral.